GGUACGCUGGCGGCGUGCCUAUUACAUGCUAGUCGAUGCGAACUGAUUAGAAGCUUGCUUCUAUGACGUUAGCGGCGGACGGGUGAGUAACACGUGGGCAACCUGCCUGUAAGACUGGGAUAACUCCGGGAAACCGGAGCUAAUACCGGAUAACAUUUUCUCUUGCAUAAGAGAAAAUUGAAAGAUGGUUUCGGCUAUCACUUACAGAUGGGCCCGCGGUGCAUUAGCUAGUUGGUGAGGUAACGGCUCACCAAGGCAACGAUGCAUAGCCGACCUGAGAGGGUGAUCGGCCACACUGGGACUGAGACACGGCCCAGACUCCUACGGGAGGCAGCAGUAGGGAAUCUUCCGCAAUGGACGAAAGUCUGACGGAGCAACGCCGCGUGAGUGAUGAAGGCUUUCGGGUCGUAAAACUCUGUUGUUAGGGAAGAACAAGUACAAGAGUAACUGCUUGUACCUUGACGGUACCUAACCAGAAAGCCACGGCUAACUACGUGCCAGCAGCCGCGGUAAUACGUAGUGGCAAGCGUUAUCCGGAAUUAUUGGGCGUAAAGCGCGCGCAGCGGUUUCUUAAGUCUGAUGUGAAAGCCCACGGCUCAACCGUGAGGUCAUUGGAAACUGGGGAACUUGAUGCAAAAAAAAAAAGCGGAAUUCCAGUGUACGGGAAUGCUAAGAUGUGGAGGACCCGUGGCGAAGCGGCUUUUGUCUUAACUGACCUGAGGCGAAAGGGGGAACAAACGAUUAAUCCUGUAUUCCCCCCUAAAAUAUGCUAGGUUAAAGUUCCCCCCUUGGUUGAGAAACCUAAAC
Molecule: ribosomal RNA, 807 nt
Filed under: Priestia flexa
Lineage: Bacteria; Bacillati; Bacillota; Bacilli; Caryophanales; Bacillaceae
Description: bacterial SSU rRNA
Rfam family: Bacterial small subunit ribosomal RNA
Source: RNAcentral